GACGAACGCUGGCGGCGUGCUUAACACAUGCAAGUCGAACGGAAAGGCCCUGCUUUUGUGGGGUGCUCGAGUGGCGAACGGGUGAGUAACACGUGAGUAACCUGCCCUUGACUUUGGGAUAACUUCAGGAAACUGGGGCUAAUACCGGAUAGGAGCUCCUGCUGCAUGGUGGGGGUUGGAAAGUUUCGGCGGUUGGGGAUGGACUCGCGGCUUAUCAGCUUGUUGGUGGGGUAGUGGCUUACCAAGGCUUUGACGGGUAGCCGGCCUGAGAGGGUGACCGGCCACAUUGGGCCUGAGAUACGGCCCAGACUCCUACGGGAGGCAGCAGUGGGGAAUAUUGCACAAUGGGCGGAAGCCUGAUGCAGCAACGCCGCGUGCGGGAUGACGGCCUUCGGGUUGUAAACCGAUUUCGCCUGUGACGAAGCGUGAGUGACGGUAAUGGGUAAAGAAGCACCGGCUAACUACGUG
Molecule: ribosomal RNA, 468 nt
Filed under: uncultured bacterium
Lineage: Bacteria
Description: partial 16S ribosomal RNA
Rfam family: Bacterial small subunit ribosomal RNA
Source: RNAcentral